This 461-nucleotide long non-coding RNA is filed under the name Polistes fuscatus (common paper wasp). RNAcentral describes it as "uncharacterized LOC122521326". Lineage: Eukaryota; Metazoa; Arthropoda; Insecta; Hymenoptera; Vespidae. The record is from RNAcentral.
UAGAAAUAUUUGGGAACAAAAUUACUUUAAUUAAAAACAAAUUAAUUCAUUUUUUAUUGUCAAAAAACUUGGUAGAUUGUGAAAAGCUAUUGUGAUUUUUAUUUGUAUAAUAUAAAAAUAUUAUUAUGAGUCCCGUAGUAACUAAAAUGAAGAACCAAUCAGCAUCGUCUUGCUCAUUCUACUAGAAUUCUUUUCGCGGGUUUUUGCCGAGCGCCAUUACUAUGGGAUCCAUUGUCAACGAAUAAAAAUGUUGUAAAGUUAUGUAAAGUUAAUGGAUAAUCAGCAAAAUGAAGAACGAAAGGAACGAUAGAUGGAAGAGAAGACACCAAUUCUAGAUUAGAUUUGUUAUAGAUUUCGAAAGAGAAUUGAUGCUAAAUGCAGAGGUAUAAGUCAAUUAAUGAUAUUAUCCGAUAGAAAAAUGUAUUUCUUCGAUUGAAAAUAAAUUAAUUUUUGUUUGUUUA